RNAcentral lists this ribosomal RNA (406 nucleotides) under uncultured bacterium. RNAcentral describes it as "partial 16S ribosomal RNA". It matches the Rfam family "Bacterial small subunit ribosomal RNA", at positions 29 to 526 of the family's 1533-position model. The record is from RNAcentral.
AUUGAACGCUGGCGGCAGGCUUAACACAUGCAAGUCGAGCGAGCGGCGGACGGGUGAGUAAUGUCUGGGAACCUGCCUGAUGGAGGGGGGUAACUACUGGAAACGGUAGCUAAUACCGCAUACCAUCAAAUGUGCCCAGAUGGGAUUAGCUAGUAUGUGGGGUAAUGGCUCACCUAGGCGACGAUCCCUAGCUGGUCGGAGAGGAGGACAAGGCACACUGGAACUGAGACAAGGCCCAGACCCCUACGCGAGGCAGCAGUGGGGAAUAUUGCACAAUGGGAGGAAGGCUGAUGUAGCCAUGCCGCGUGUGGGAAGAAGGCCUUCGGGUUGGAAAGGACUUUCAGUGAGGAGGCGUUACUCGCAGAAGAAGCACCGGCUAACUCCGUGCCAGCCGCCGCGGUAAUUC